This 451-nucleotide ribosomal RNA is filed under the name uncultured bacterium. RNAcentral's name for it is "bacterial SSU rRNA". It matches the Rfam family "Bacterial small subunit ribosomal RNA", at positions 354 to 796 of the family's 1533-position model. The record is from RNAcentral.
GUGGGGAAUUUUCCGCAAUGGGCGAAAGCCUGACGGAGUGACGCCGCGUGUGGGAUGAAGGCCUUCGGGUCGUAAACCACUGUCAGUGGGAAAGAUGGGUGCCGGCGCGAUAACCGCCGGCAUCUGACGGUACCUGCAGAGGAAGCCCCGGCCAACUCUGUGCCAGCAGCCGCGGUAAGACAGAGGGGGCAAGCGUUGCUCGGAAUUACUGGGCGUAAAGGGCGCGUAGGCGGGAUGGCAAGUCGGUCGUGAAAUCCUUCGGCUCAACCGGAGAACGUCGAUCGAUACUGCCGUCCUUGAGGAUUGCAGAGGAGACUGGAAUUCCCGGUGUAGCGGUGAAAUGUGUAGAGAUCGGGAGGAACACCGGUGGCGAAGGCGGGUCUCUGGGCAAUUCCUGACGCUGAGGCGCGAAAGCGUGGGGAGCAAACGGGAUUAGAAACCCUAGUAGUCC